AUAAACGCUGGCGGCGCACAUAAGACAUGCAAGUCGAACGGAAGUCGUUUUAGUGAGUUUGAGAUGAAAGAUUUAUCCGGAUUCAAAGAUGAACUAAAACAAUGGCUUUAGUGGCGGACUGGUGAGUAACACGUAAGCAACCUGCCUGUUAGAGGGGAAUAACAGCGAGAAAUCGUUGCUAAUACCGCAUAUGCCAUAAGAACCGCAUGGUUCAAGUGGGAAAGGAGCAAUCCGCUAACAGAUGGGCUUGCGUCUGAUUAGUUAGUUGGUGGGGUAACGGCCUACCAAGACCGCGAUCAGUAGCCGGACUGAGAGGUUGAACGGCCACAUUGGGACUGAGACACGGCCCAGACUCCUACGGGAGGCAGCAGUGGGGAAUAUUGCACAAUGGGGGAAACCCUGAUGCAGCGACGCCGCGUGAAGGAUGAAGGUCUUCGGAUCGUAAACUUUUGUCUUCAGGGACGAUAAUGACGGUACCUGAGGAGGAAGCCACGGCUAACUACGUG
Molecule: ribosomal RNA, 506 nt
Filed under: uncultured bacterium
Lineage: Bacteria
Description: bacterial SSU rRNA
Rfam family: Bacterial small subunit ribosomal RNA
Source: RNAcentral